AGGAGCCGUAUGAAUCGAGAGGUUCACGUACGGAUCUGUGAGAGCGCAGGGGGGAGGUUCCCCUGCGCCACUCGAC
This 76-nucleotide non-coding RNA is filed under the name uncultured Desulfobacterium sp. The record is from RNAcentral. Lineage: Bacteria; Pseudomonadati; Thermodesulfobacteriota; Desulfobacteria; Desulfobacterales; Desulfobacteriaceae.